This 447-nucleotide ribosomal RNA is filed under the name uncultured bacterium. RNAcentral describes it as "bacterial SSU rRNA". It matches the Rfam family "Bacterial small subunit ribosomal RNA", at positions 29 to 490 of the family's 1533-position model. The record is from RNAcentral.
AACGAACGCUGGCGGCGCGUCUUAAACAUGCAAGUCGAACGAUCUGUAGCAAUACAGGGAGUGGCGGACGGGUGAGGAACACGUAGGAAUCUACCUUGAAGAGCGGGACAACUUUGGGAAACCGGGGCUAAUACCGCAUAGUACAGAGAUGUUAAAGGGCUAGCAAUAGUCGCUUCGAGAUGAGCCUGCGGUCUAUCAGCUUGUUGGUGAGGUAAUGGCUCACCAAGGCUACGACGGAUAGCCGGUCUGAGAGGAUGAUCGGCCACACUGGCACUGAGACACGGGCCAGACUCCUACGGGAGGCAGCAGUUAAGAAUCUUGCGCAAUGGGGGAAACCCUGACGCAGCGACGCCGCGUGAAGGAUGAAGGCUUUCGGGUUGUAAACUUACGUAGACUGGAAGAAGAAUAACGUCGUUGAGGGCAUAUAGUGACGGUACCAGUCUGAAG